UUUUUUAAUAGCGUUGAAAAGAGCCGAUGAGCCGCAAGUGAAACGGGUAGCUUUCUCUUAUAGUCUAUUUUCUCUGGACUUUAUUCAGCUUAAAGGGAUAGGGUUCAUGGGUUGAUUCUCAAGGGAUAGAAAGGGUUUUUCAUGGGUUGAUUCAGGGGACAAAGGCAAGUAUUAAUGGGUGGAUUCAGAGGACAAGGGAAAAGGUUCAUGGGUUGAUUCAGAGGAUAUCUGUUUCUCAGGAGAGCUUCUUCUUUAUCUUUUCUCUUGUGAUCUUUCAAGUCGGUCUUCUGAGUUGGGGUGGACCGCAAGUCAAUGGUGGUAGGAAGUGGAGAUUGUAUGGGCCUUAAACUCAAGCCCAAACCGAAAGCGAUGCGCUCAAAUGAAUCUGGCCUUUCUUUCCUUUUGUCUUGAAAGCUAUAUCCUCCCCGGUGACUUGUUCAACCCACUAACGGCACUUUGGGCGGGCACUUAUGAAAGGCACAGAAAUACCAACCAAAUCAAAGGUAGGAUUCCAGCAUUAAGGGCACAGAAAUACCAAUAUAAAUCAAAGGUAGGAUUCCAGCAUUGAAUAUAUUGUCAGAAAAGAGAAAGAGUCUAUCCUUCUUUCUCCCAAAGACCAAAGCAUAUUGUGGAGCCCUCGGGUCAUCGGAAAUGUUUUAUGCUUCUUUGGCGACCGUGAGAUCACUUUUCUCAGAUCGACUUGCUUUAUAAUGGAAUACAAAUCAAUUAUAGGGAUACUGAAGCGCCUUAUAGGCUUAUAAGCAGCUUUCUAAGUCUGAGUUGCUUGUUGAGUGUUUAUCCUUUCCUUCUCGAUUCAGACAAUACACUGAUUUGUUUACGAAAGGGUUUCAGGGCAAAUACGGAACGAUCGAGCACGCGCCGAUGACUCAUUAUGAAGAAAAGAAUAAUGGAAGCUUUCUAUCCCCGAAACUCACCCACGGCACACUUUAGCCCAUUCGCUUCGCCCGCGGGAAGGCUACAAAGUAGGAAGAGUCCUCUUGAGAGUCUGGUCUUGUAUAAGUUUGGACAUCCCCUUGCAACAUUCGCUCAAUUAGCCAUUUCAUUGGUAUAUUCCCCCGCUAGAAAGAUCGCCUGCAUCAAAGCAUUCUUUUUGGAUUGGAAACUCUUCACAGGAUAGCAUAGUUAGAAUGACAGAUUAGUUGAUUGAUGUCAAAUGUAAAAAGGAGAACCCCGCGCCCUUUCCUGACCACGAUUGGAGAUUCCGUCCAGACAUUUCACCUGCUCACUAGCGCCUUCUCCGACAGAUUCAACACCUCUGCUCUCCCACUCGCUAUCUUAUUCGAUUUUGGAUACGAAAUUCUCCCGAGAAAGAGCCCCCUCCCUUCUGCGGAUUCACUUGCUCAAGCAAGGGCAUUCUGUUCUUCACAUGUUUGCGCACAUAAAGGAACUAUAACAACUCAUACGUCAGCGCAACAUUAGGGAGCUAAAGAAGAUAGGAGUUAUAUAUAUAGGAAUUAGGUAAUCCGGGUUCAUUCCAUGUGUUGUGGCAAGUCAAGUUUGGGGGAGUUGGAGCAAGGGUAGUAAACAAUACUAGCAUGAAAGGCUGGCGAACUCAAUUCAACAGGAAGGAGCUCCGUAAGCAGAAAAGAAAACAGGACUCAUUGUCCCGCUGACUCCACUGGGCAAGAUCGUAUUGUUAUCUUUGCUACCGCUCAGUGUAGUGGGCUAUCCGAACUAUCGAAAACAGGACUUAUAGCACAGAGACAGAGGCACAGUUUGAUUAUAGGACAGAGUGUCAGAAGCCAGAUCUUUAGGUGUGUUCAGUGUCUUUACUUUACUUGGAUCUAUACCUUGUGCUCGGUUUAGUUCAGGGAAAAAGAAAAUAGUACUCUGCCUUUGAAGCGUGGUAUACAUUAUAUGAGUUUGAGUUAGCCGUUGCAGCUUGUCCCGCUUCCGCUCCUUGUUGUUUCGUGGAGUUAUUGGCAGUUGGGGGCCAUUAUCAACAUAAUCAAGGUCAACUUAUCGUCCUGCUGCGACGCCUUGUUCAACUGAUUGUCCUGCUGGAGUAGAGUAAGUAGGCAACAAUACUUAAGUACUUGAGUCUAAGGUUCGGUUAGGAAGCAAUGGAGUGGUUAGGUUCCAAACAAAAAGAACAUGCGAGCGAGAUAGAUUCAAUAAGUCCGUCCGUUUUGAACCGAAGGGGAAGCAGUUGCGCUUAUUGUUGUUGCAGGGUCCUGUAGAGUGAGUCUUGCUAUUCUAUAUGCCUGGCCAUACUUAUUAGUUGCGCUCAAAGUUAAGUAUCAAGUUUUGUAGCCAGUAGAUAUCAUAUUGCAAAGUAGAUAUCAUAUUGCAAAGUCAGGGAGGGGGCCUAUGCCUCUGUCCUGUAAGUUUAGGGUUAAGUUACAUCAAUUCAAAAAAGCACACAAAUAAACAAGCCUUAAAAGGAAGCAAUGCGGGUUGGUUGUCUUUUCCAUUCCUACUUUAUUAUAUGACCAUCCUGUUAUUCAAUUGAUGUUUGAGUUUACUACUUUCUAUUUUCAAGUUGCUCAAAAAAAGAUGAUAAAUGAAUGAUUGAGACAGGACAAGUUCAGGCCAGGCCCAAUUGAAUAAGUAGUCUCCCCCCGAGUUAUUAGACUGAAUCCGCAAUUCGAGUGUCGGUUGCUAACUUAUAUUACGGUUGCUUGUGUUCAUAAGUGUUCAAGGGGAGUUCCAGAAGCCGAAUCGAAGUUCUAAACUGGAAAUUCUGUAUUUGGUUACUUCGGAUCAAGACUAAGUGCUAAGGCGUGAGUUCAAUCUUCAUUACUCAAAGAUUUUACAGCAUUGCAAUCCGAUCUUCUGCGAUAGAUUCCAUUCAUGUUUAAGUAUAGGUAAGUUAUGAAAGUGGUUAAGUAGUUCAGUCGGAAGUCGAAGUAAAAGCCCGCUCACUAACGGGAGCUGCAAGUGUUGAGUCUUGAGUGUGUUUUGAAGCAAGUGAUAGAGUUCCUGAUAGUAUAGUUCAAGUUCGAAAGUUGUCUACGAGAGAUAUAGGUUCAAGUGCUUCCGAUGUUCCAAAGCUUGCUGUUGCUGAUGGGAAUGUAGACCAAAACUCAGGUAAAAGGAAGCUAUUUUCGAAUGCAAGUAAGGGUAAGGCUGGAAAGAUUCUUUGUAUUACUCUAAGGUCUAACAAACAACUCAGAUUAAAGCUAAGGUCUAUGUUAUACGGCAAAAUGAAUGAGUUGGCAAAGGCAAAGCAAGGAAUAGAUACGUUAUAAUGAGUUAUUCCGGUUUCUGUUUCUUGGUUCCAUUUGUAUUUCCCUAUAAUAGGAGUUUCCCGCAGACUCUCUAUCAAUCUGGGUUCAAAGCUCUUCUUAUUUGAGUUGGGCUAUAAAAUGAGGGCAAUAAGGAUUUCCCUUGUAUACGAGUUGGGGCAAACAAGCAGACAAGAUUUCAUGGAGUGGAGGCUUUCUCUUGUAUUCUAUUAGCAAGCAGACGUAAGAGCGGAUGUGCUCUCUGUUCUUGAAUUUGCUGUAGUCCGCUUUACCUUAACUGAGAUGGUACUAGGCAAGGUGAAGGAUUUCAGGCCCCGCCAGUAGGUCUAGACCCGUGAAUAUGCUGAUGCCUAUAUAGGCCCUUUCUUUAAUAAAGUAAUUGUGUGCUGUCAAAGAGGUAUGUACUUAUUAGUUUGGAAGAGUAAUAAAGUAUUAGCAAGAAACCUGCUAUCAAUCUAUCUAAGGGUUUUAGGUGCACUGGUUGUUCUUUGCAGAUCUAUGUGGAUGAGUGUUAGGAAGCAGCUGGGAUUUGUCUUGUACCUAGAGGGCAUGAGGAGCCACCUACUAGUGCAUUAAAGUAGUCAUUUCCUCAUAUAAACAAGUGUAGCGAAGUCAAGGGUAAGGCAAAGGCUUUCAGCACCUUCUUUCUUCUUGGAAAAGGGUGGUCUACGAUCAGUAUAAGAAACAACCGGUGGGGCUCCUGCCGCCGCUAAAUCAUAAAUUGUAAUAAGAAAGGAAAGAUAAGGUACAAAAGUGGGGAAAAGUAGGAAGAUUAAGCGGAUAUAAUAAAUCAAAAAGCUGGAUAGGUGUUCUCGAGACUAUGAAGCCCUAAAGGGUGACGGAGAUCCCGAUGCCUCUGUAGGACUAGCCGAGGGUGUCAUUGGUAUAGGAGAGAGGUUUCCAUGUAUAGAGUGCGCAAGUCAAGCCCGUUGAAAUAGCAGCUAUGCCCCUUGGUCCCGAGCGUUUGAACUAAUGCGAGUCUCUUGAGCGGAGCUCUUUAUGUCAGCUAGUCUAGAUCGAUUCCUAACCUAAUAAGAUUGGCAAAUCUUUGUUUGUUAAGACUGAAUGAAAGACUAAGCCGAAAUGCAAUAAAGAAAGAUCUCAUCACUGCACUUGCUUUCCCUAAACUAUCUCUCCUUAGAAGUAGGGCGAGCCAAAAAGAAGGAAUUCUCUAAUCCGAUAGCCUUACAACAAACAAGCUUGCUUAACGCACUAGCUUUGAGUUCCGACAAAAAAGCUCUUCCAAAGACAAAGCGCAUCGCUCUCAUGCUCGGUAAGUAAAGUCAGUUAUUCGCCUUACUCGUGCAAGUAAACUACCUUUUUAGUACAACCUUUUCUUCGACCAUCCAAUAUCGAAGUUAGUUAGUUAUCGAUGGAUCAUUGAGAACUAGUCUCUAAGUUUGGAGAUGCAUAGGUUCAAGCAUGCAGUCCCAUCUAUUGGUCCAGAGCCUGUUGACGUUAUAGAAUCAUACCAAUCCUAAGUAGCAAGUAUACAAGUGAGCAGUUUCAGAGUUCGAGAUGAGUUAGUAAGAAAGAGAAAAGGGAGCUUAAAGCCUUAGUUUCAAGCAUAGGUCUUGUUGGUAUGGGUUAGAGUCUCUUACUAUUGUGAGUUGGCGAUUCAUAAAGUGUAGUUUCUUUGGGUCCUUGCUUGUUCGUUGGGCAAAAGGGUGAACCGGUGAGCUGUUAGGGCAGCCUAGCUCCUACUGGUAUGGAAGGUAGAGGAGCAGAAGCAACCAACAGAGCAUCUUUUCAACCAGCUAACUUAGCCCUGCCAAUAGCGAGGUCAGGUCUAUCUGGUGUGUAUUCCUCUGGUGGACUGCAAAUAAGGAUUGGCAUCUGGUGGACUUAAGCAAUGAGGUUUCAACAAACAGUAAGGUUCCACAGAGGUUUCAACAAACAGUAAGGUUCCACACUUAUAGCAUAUAUUCCACACUUAUAGCAUAUGCUGGAUAGAAAGAAUUCUUUAGUGAAGCCCGAGUUAUCCGUUUCAUUUCUUUCGCCAAAGUGAGUGAGUUGAGAGAACAAGCAAAGUUGCAACGCGCUAAGAGAGUGGAGUACAUUAGUCUAGGGAUAGUAGCGUAGUCUAGGUAUAGUAGCGGUGGCCUAGCUAAGUGAUGAAAGUGAGAAAUUAGGUAUUGGCAUAAGAAAGUGAGAAAUGAGGUAUUGUCCUAAGAAUAAGAAAUGAAGUGGAGCGUUUACUGCACACAUGCCCUACUUAGUUGUUCCAGAAGUUUCCUACUUAGUUGUUCCAGAAGUUUCCUACUUAGUUGCUCAAGAAGUUUAGAGUAUCUCAGGUAAGGUAUAUUGUUUGUGGCAUGACAACUCUAUUAGUGGCGAAUAGCUUCAUCGGAAAGGACUGGCCGCCUCCUAACCUUGUAGUGUGGGAAUCUCAAUUACUCUAUGUUAUGAGAAUACACUAGUUCACUGAAUCACUGAUGUCGGAUUGAAUGAGGAUGUCUCGAGUUGGCCAGCUAACUACAGCAUCAAAGAAUACUCAUGCUACGUCGAUGCUCAGGUUGGCUCCAUGCGCUUGCUUCCCCUAAACUAGGAUGUGCUUCCUCUCUAGUCAGUCACUUUUCAAUAAGUGCAAAAUAAGCUUUCAUAUCAUCUUGUGUGGAAUCAUUAUAAUGGAAAAGAAAAGCAGAAGGGAUCCAAGAAGUAGAUCUCGUAUAAAGGAAUGGCCAUUGAGACCCAAACACACCUUUGAUCAGAUAAUGCCAAUCGACCGAGCAACGCUCCGAAGGCUGCUUUAGCUAAUACCGAAAGAGGCUAGAGCCAGAGCCUUAAAGUGGCUGUUCUAGUCCGAAAGGUCAAACUCUAUGUGAUUGGCUACGCUUGUUCAUUUCCCCCCUACCCCUGGAUUUCGGUCGCUUCCAAUUGUCGGGUAAUUCAAAGCUAUUCAAAGCAUCUCGAAGG
RNAcentral lists this long non-coding RNA (6125 nucleotides) under Musa acuminata (dwarf banana). Its description in RNAcentral is "long non-coding RNA (MACU_LNC007650)". The record is from RNAcentral. Lineage: Eukaryota; Viridiplantae; Streptophyta; Magnoliopsida; Zingiberales; Musaceae.